UCUCGCGCUAUUGGUACAACUGGGUCUACUUCGUGAUCUCCCAUGUUUGGUUCGAAUUGUUCAGUUGUUUGUUGUUGUUAGUUUUUCCAGUUGGCCCAAUUCAAGGCCUUGAAAACUUUCUCGGGAUCUGAUAAUGCUUCAAAUACUUCACCAGUUCUCGAUGAGUUUCUAGGCAUGCACCUGUACAACCGAGUCAACAAACGUUAAAAUUUCAAUGUAUAGAUUGGGUGUAAAGAAAACUGACUACACUAAGAAUUUUUGUAUUUCGUUCAAUUGUAAUUGAUAACAAAGUUAAUUACCUGGCAACGACGCCAAAAUUUGAUCACGCCCAACUAUGCCUAUUAAAAAGGACACGCGGGCGUCGCAAAUAUAAUCUGAGUAUUUGGCCCAGAGUCGAACCCACAAGGAAUUAACUUAUCAAUUACUCUUAUUAGACUUACUAAAUUAUACGGAGUCAACUUCCCAAACGUUGUAAAUAACAAUUGAGGGUAUUUCCACUAACUACGAAUGGAUGUAAAUAAGCAACUGAAAACUAAUUAUGAUUAAGUUGUAAACAAUUAAGAGAAUAUUCUAAGGUUAUGAUUUCCCCUAUUGAUGGAAUCCCUUCCGGUUAUGUUUCAUAUAGAUUCACCCAAUCAUCUCUAUCAGUCAUGAGCACUCCUAUUACCGUAAAUCUCUCCUGAAUAAUCACGAUAAUUUACUAGACGUGCUCUCCCGAGAUAUGCUAGCUGGCUUUGUUUAUUACAGCUCACUUUAGAUUACACCCAAGGCUUCGUUAUCCCUAAUCCGCCUUUAAACCCGCAGUUAUUGAUCCCUCAUAUACUUUGGGAGUGGUGUUGUUCAACAAUUACCUAAAUAUGCACUCUCUCUCGAGUUAUGCACACUAAAUAGGCACAGCUAAUUGAGGAUACUAUGAAUUAACUACAACAAGAAUGUAGUUGAACAAAUAGAGAUUAAACCAGGCAAACUAUAUUAACAUCACAAGAAGUUCAUCCUUCAAUAGGUUCCAUCAACACCCUAAACUAAGGAAUUAGCUACUCAUGACAAAACAAGAUAAAACUACUAAAUGAUUCAUAAUUGGUAAUUGCAAGAAAAUAAAAGAGAUAGAAAAACUCUAAUGUUUGGUUGAUCUUCUCAAACUUGUUCUUGCCUCCAAAGUGGUCUAAUAACAAGCCCCCUCAUCUUGGGCGAGUUUCUAUAGCUUAUAAGGGUUUGGAACAAGUUUUCCCGAAUUUACACUUUGGUCCCCAAAUUUCUGACGCGUGAACAGUGCACCGCGGUCGCGGCAAGACUGUGGCUCGACUGCGGUGACCACUGAGCAUUCUGCCUUGACGUUUGAUCUGCCGCGGUUCCACCGCGGUCGCGGUGGAAUUUGCUCAGUUCAUUUUCUUGCUUCUUUGUGCUCGGGUACUUCUUGAGUGGGCGUUUUCUUCACAUUAUUUCCUCCAAAACACUCUGUGGUGCUUCCUCACUUAGAAUAUUCCCUGCGAACAAAAGAACACCAUUUAGAGCAUUUUGUUGGCCAUUUGCGUAUAAAACAACAAUAAAGCAUGGUAAUAUUAAGGUAUAAAUAUCAUCCAUAUAGCCUAAUAUCAAUUCAUAUACCUCAAAAUCACUUGAUUUGCGCCUAGAAUCUCCCCUUAUUCUCUUCCUACCAUUAUCGAUAGCUCUUUAUAAUCAAAAUAGCAUCGAUUGAAUAGGUAUUUUGUUACAAUUGAAGAACAAAGUUCAACACAUAACAUAUUCGAGGAAAAAUCAUUGGCGAUAGUUUCGUAUUAUCAAAAAAUCGUCAAUUGCAUCACUCUGGACAACACUGGAAAUGAAAAAACAUUCAGAUUGUUGCCAUAAGUAUUUUCAAUAUCAUUCCAUUAAAAAGUUUUGAAUUCGAUAUUCAGGGUUUACGAUUUUAUAAUUUGUUUGGACUGGAUAUUCUUGCAAAUGAUUGAAAAUGUCCUUUGGAAUUUAUAUCUCAAAUUUGGGGAGAUUAAUUAAGUAUAUAGUUGGUUUUAGGUGAAAUUUCAGAUGGAAACCCCAAGAAGAAGAAGUUGUAGGAAUUGUAUGAUAAUUGUAUCAUAAAUGUAUCGGAAUUGUAUUUGAAUUGUAUCUGAUACAUCCAUGCCUACAACAUAAUCGUUUCAUACUUAUAUCACAAUUAUAUCUAACUUGUAUCUGGUAUUAGUAUAAUUAAUAUACAAUUAUCAUAUAUUUGUGAUACAAUCUGUGAAAUUGGUCAAAAACUCACAACCGCUCGUAAUAAUAUACAAUUAACAUACAUUUGUAAUAAAUUUCUUCAGUAAUUAUGAUACAAAUAUAAUUAUGAUACAAUCGCAAUGCAUUCCUAAAAAAAUAUGAUACAUUAUGAUAUUUAUCUUGUUCAGGUUUCAAUCACAACUCUAAACUUAAAAUCUAAUAUAACAUCGUAUUAUGAUUGUAUUAGUAUUGUAUCAAAUAUUAUUUUAGGUAUUGAUAUAUCAUAUACAAGUCACAUAUAAUUUUGAUACAGUUGUGAUACAAUUCAGAAAGAAAUUUGAUACAGUUACCCAAAUACAAUUAUUUUUUUGGAUAUUAAUGUACCAGAUAUAAGUUAUAUUCAAUCUUGAUACAAGUAUGGUACAAUUAUGAUAUAAUUAUAUUUUAUGCACUGAUGUAUCAGGCAAUGUUUUAAAAGGCGUGGGCGUAAGGUGAGGCAUUUUACAUCUGCCUCAGCUAGGCGUAAGCCCCGAGGCACGAGGCGUAAGCCCCAUGAGUCUUUAAUUUUUAAUACAUUAUAAAAUAAUAUAAUUAAAGUAAAUAUUUAUAAACAUGUAAAAAUUGACAUAAAAAUUGAAGAAAACUAACAUACAUAUAUAUAUAUAUAUACAUAUAUAUAUGUAUGUAUGUAUAUAUGUUUGUGUGUUUCAUCCCCAUAAAAAAUUAGUCAAAAUAAUAUGUUAUACACUACUUACAAGCACAAGCAAUUUGAGUCGAAAAGAAUAAAGUUUUCUACAUAGAACAACAAAAGGAUGACUAACCUGCAAUUUGAACUUUGAACUUAUUGCUAUGAAGGAGAAUUGAGUUCUCUUUAUAUUUGUAAAAAAAAUAAUUGAAUAUUCGUUGCUUUUGGGAGAUAUCAGUAGACUAGCAGAUAAGAUAAAGAAUUGGGAAAGACCAUAAAUUAGGGCUUCAUCAAUACAAGCGGUCUUGACUUUUAAAUUUAAUACAUUUUAGUUACUUUUUAAAACUUUUGAGUAAUUACAAGUGACUUUUGAGAAUUUGGGUGUUAUAUGAAGGAAUUAUUUAAUAAAUUUUAUUUUAAUUUGAAAAAGUCUUUGGAGCUUACGCCUCACUACAAAAAUGCGUCUCAAAUGCCCGGGCAUACGCCCCAAAUUGUUGGGCGUACGCCUCUUGAGACUUUCGCCCUACACCAUCGCCUCAGAGCAUUUUUGGUGCGCCUCACUCCAGGGCUCACCCCAAAAAUGCCUUUUAAAAUACUGGAAUCAGAUAUGAUUACGAUACAAUUAUUAUACAAUUCCUGCAACUUCUUUUUUUUUUUGAAUUUUAAUUCGAAAUUUCACCUAAAAUCAACUCUAAUCUAAACCAAUCUUCCUCAAAAUUGAGAUAUAAAGUCCAAAGAAUAUUCUUAAUCGUCUGCAAAAACACUUAAUCCAAACAAAAUCACAAAUUUGCAAAACCCGAAUAUCAAAUUCAAAGUUUCAAAGUUUUUUUAAUAGCUACUAAUGAUGAACCCUUUACUUCUAUAAUUUUAAAAAUAAUAUCGAUGAAUUUAUCAGUAGUUGAAGAUAUUUAAUGGUUGUUGGUGGAAUUGAUUCAAAGAAACAUAUGAUUCUAUAAUAUUAGAGAGAUAGUCGCUUGAUUUGUGUGAAAGAAAUAGAUUUUUUGGUUGAUUUUAUGAAAGAGAUCGAAUGAUAUUGAAAUUGGGAAAAAAUCGUAAUUGUAGGGGGCAAUUAAGCUAAUAGACAUGGGAAAUUGUGUGUGUGUGGGUGGGGGGGGGGGGGUUACGAUUUAAUCCCUAAAUUUAAGAGAUCCUUCUUUUUACCAUGAUUUUGUAUAUAAAUAAUAAAUGUAGAUACACAAUGUAAUUUUUAAAGAUUCUAAAGAACAAUGAUAAAUAAGUUUCUAAAAUAGUAUAGCUAGGUAAAAAUCUCAAAAAUAAAUUGGCUUGAGAAGUGAACAUGGACUUCAGAGCUGUCGUUGUGUUGAUUGUGCUAUGCCUUAUCUUCCUCAACACUCACCCCAACUUGGAGAGUGAAUGAACCCCUUAGCUGAUUGGAAAAUUCUUAGCAACUCAGUCGGUUGGUGUGUGGGUCAAAAUCUGACCAAAGAUAUUCGACACGAAGUGAUAAAUAGAAAGUAAUAUGUCUGAGGUCGAGAUUCAAAUAGUGGAGCCCAUAGCCGACCAGCCGGUAGCGGCCGAGGUCAAGCAUCAAGAAUAAUAGCAACGACUAGUUUUGUAAUAAGAUCUUUAGAAAAAUAUUCCAUUGAAUAUUCUUUAUAUUUGUACUUUUAGGGUUGAUUGAGGGUAUGUCCCAUAUAAAUAAAAAGAGAGAUAAGGUGAAAUAGGGGUAAAAUUCUCCAAUAAGAACAUUCUAUGAAAAGCAGACUUUCUCAAGAGAAAAUACAAACAUUACCUUUCUAAAAGAGAUUUGGUUGGCUAUUAUUGAACACCUUUUCAAUAAGAUCCAAUAUUUUAGUAUUUGGCUCAUAUCCAUCAUUGUCAAGAGGAGUAAUCAUCCACCUCAUUCAAUGUUGGGUUAACUAUUCUUCUUAUUUAUUUUGAUGUCAUUUAUUGCUAUUUAUCUUUUGACAUUCUCUCUUCAUUGAUGAUCUUGAAACAUUAAAUACAAGUUGCGUUUAAUCUGCUUUCAACACUAAGCUAUGUCACUCGUAUUAACCAUUCAUAGAUCUGAAGUUAUUAUCAUUAACUAGGUUUAACCCUUCAUUAUAUAAAUUUAAUUGUUAAUCAAAGAUCUACACUUUUUGGCCAAACAAUUUGGCGUCAUCUGUGGGAAUUUUUUAGGUAAAAUUUUAGUUUCUUCUAGAUCCAUAACUAUCAAAAAAAUAAAAAAAAAUCAAAACCCCUAUCCUCUUGUACACACAAACCUAAUAUGGUAGGUAACUGAGAAGAAAGGAUGAAAGAAGUGGCCGAUCUCACCACCAACCUCUUGAACACCAUCAACGAGGUUUCAAAAAUGGAGGGUGAAGAUGUAAUACCAGAUGCCUCUCCCAGGCUAAGUGACUCGCCCCUCCCUCAUGAUAGUAUCACGAUGUCCCCCGGUAAAAGGACUUCCAUGUCCACAAUAGAAGAAACGCCACCAGCAGUGAAGAAACUACUUGAAGCUUGGCUGACGGACACGCUGACCAGCAUCCUCGACACACCCACCCAAAAAUCUACAAGAGAAAAUGUAAGGACUCGCAUUGUACCAAUAAUGGUCGAGCAACACGCCCCUCCCCCUCCAACAAUAGGUAUCACUCACAAUGUUAGUAAUGCAGGUGACGACACCCUAACAGUCAUUCUGAGGAAGAUGAAAGAAAUGGAAAAGGAGAACAAAAUGUUGCGAGACCAAAUGAAGGAGCAUCAAGAAAGAGUAGACAAAAUAUCGGGUGCCCCAAAAUGCUUACCAAAAAGGGAUGUGGGUCGGUUCGUGGAACAACCUUACACUGAUGAAGCUUGUUGAUACCCAAUUUUGCCCUCAUAUUUUCCAAAUAGUAUAUAUAUUUUCAAUAUAUCAUUUUGCAUCAUUAUUUAGUUUAUAGGAGUUAUACAUGUGUUUUUCAUAUUUUUUAACAAUGUUUAGAGCUUUAAAGCUAUUUUUCUUGCAUUUAAAUUACUUGAAUAUUUACUAAUUAUUCUUUUAAAUUAUUUUGUAAUGACUAAAUAUCUAAAAUUAUAAUUUCCAUUCAUAAUAUAUGUUUCAAUUAUUUUUCACUUCAUUUUAUAUAAUUACAUUAGUAUUUUAGGCUAUUUACACAAUCUUGCAAUAAUAGCCUAUAUUUUACAACUUUAUUACAUUUGUCAUUUUAUUCAAGGUCAAAAUAAUAUUUUACAUUUUUAUAAUUUUCUACUAUUGUUUUAAGGUAUUAAUUUGCAUAAAUAGCAUUUUUAUAUUUUAUUUAAUUGUUUUUAUUAAAUUAUUUUUCCCUUAAUCUCCUAUUUUAAAAUCUGGCCAAAAUUAGGUUAAUUUCGGACCAAUUAAAGUCCAAAUGAACCAUCCCACUUUGAUUAACCCCCAGAAGCCCAAUCCAAGUGGCGCUGUGCAGUCCAAACCUGACCCAACUCCCCUUGAAUCUCAGCCGUUGAUCAAAAGCGAUCAACGACUCACAUCACUCCACUCUCUUUCCUUAUAUCCUUAUCCUGAAACCCUAGAGACCAUUCCCUUUCCUCAGUCGCCCUCAUACACUCUCAUCUCUCAAACCUAAACCCUAGCCGCCUCACUCAAAUCUCAGCCUCAAUCCAAUAUUACAUGAAAAUCAUCCAUGAUUCCUUUCCUUUCUUUCACACACAGAGAUACUUACCAUCUUUUGAAAGUUACAAGUACUGGGUACUUGAUUAUUUAUGAAAGCUGAGUCAUUGGUGUUCUUUUGACUCUGAUUUUGUAUUAUUUUCAUAUUUUUGACCUAAUACACUAACUAUCAGAUCCCAUGGCUUCGAUGCAGUGAGAUUUUUGCUAUUUUUGUUCCUCGUCUAAAUUAGGCUUUAUGGAUUUACCCUAAAACUGAUUCUAAUUGAUUUUUACAUGCCAUAUUUUCCUUAUUUAAUAUAAUAUAUUUCCUUAUUUUAUGUGUUUAUCUUUACAACUAUAUAAAUCUUUCCCCAUUCCCCUUUGAAACAAACUUUUAAUUACCAGAUUCACUAAAAAUCGAAGCUAUUGUUAUAUUAUUCUCUUGUUCUAUACUUUGGUUCUUGGCCCCACGGCCAUGGAAAUUCAAUUUUUCAACUUUUCUCGGUGCGAGCACUACCCGAGGUUUAUUUGAAGCCUUUGGGAACUCUAACGCACUAAAAUUCUGGGUUCUAUUGCUCUUUGUUGACAUUCAGAGUAUUGUGGAGUUUGUUCUUUCUUGAUGUCUGUUUAUUCAACUGAUAACUGGUAAGUCUCUUGGCUUUUACAAUUUCGUUCUUCUGUGUUCAUGUCUUGCAUAUUCACACCUCUGAAAUUUCAUGACCUAAUGUGUUUCUAGACUAUUUUUGUGUGCAACUUGUUGGCAUUGAACUUGUUUCAUGAUCUGAACUUCUCAAGCAUUUGAAUUUCCCUAAGAUUUCCAGUUUUGCGACAUUGUUUAUGAUACAUGCUUAACUUGAAUAAUUCGGACUCCCUUAAGUUCAUUUAGCCUGGUAUGUUGGUCCCUGAAUGUGCAUGUUUGCUGCUUGGCAUAAGUUUUCUUCUGUACUUUGUUCUGAAUUCCUGUAAUGACUUACUCGCAUCUAUAAUGUAUUCUAAUCUAUGUUAAGACCUUCACUCUAUCUAUGACCUGCUCCCAUGCUAUUUUUUCACUUAUUAUGUCUUUGGUUUGCUUAAUCCUAUAUCCCCUAGUGAUUAGUUGGGACCCUUAGAGUAGCUAUCUUAACUUGUGUUUCCUUAUAAUGUCUGAUACUGGGUAUGUUUGGUAUAACGAAAAAUAUUUUCCAAGAAAAUAUUUUUUUGAAAAACAAGUAGUAAUCUUAUUCAUUUUUCGGUGUUUGGUACGCAAAUUAAGGAAAUUCACUUCUCAAGAGUAUUCAUAAAUAAUUUAUAUACAAUAAACAUGAAGCCAUAAACUUUCAAACCAAUAACCUUCUGAACCCACAAAUUUCAUAAACUUCCAAACAGCUAAACUUUUGAAACUGCAAACUUCCGAACCCGUAAAUUUUUAAACACAUAAACUUCCGAACUCAUAACUUUGGAACUUGUAAAAUUUUGAACCUGUAAACCGAAAGAUGAAAAAAACUAAAACAAAAAUAUAAAAAAAAAAAAUUUCCUGGAGAGGGGGCAGGGGUGUGCAGAAAAACAAAAAGACAAAAAUUUCAAAUUACAAAAAAAAAGAAAAUAAAACUUUUUUUUGCAGGGGGGGGGGGGGGUAGUGUGGGGUGGUGCAGAAAAAAAAUAGAAAAAAAAAACAUUUUUCAAAGAGGGGGUGGGGUGGGGUGGGGUUAGGUGGGUGAGGGUGGGGAAGGUUGAGAAUGAGUUUUGAAAAAUAUUUUCCCUUCUCUUGAUAAGGAAAUAUGUUUUAAUAAGGAAAAUGUUUUCCAAAACAUUUCAACCAAACAUGGGAAAAUUGGAAAAUAUUUUUCGAAAAAAUGUUUUCCUUCAUACCAAACACACCCACUGUUUUGUCUUAUUGAUAUAAGUUGGCAUGUCUACUUUCUAGUGUUGUGUUGGAUAUUCAUCAUAAUUUGGACCCUUAGGCUUUAAAUCCUUUAAAUUAGUGCUCUACUUUAGACUUUUUUGGCAUUGUGCACCUUUGUAUGAUAAUCUGGUAAUCUCAGAAAACCUGAUUCCCCUGCUUCUUACAAAAUGUUCUCUACCUAAUAUGCAAGUGUUUGAACUUAUGAUACCAACGUGUACUUUGAGUUUUGUUGAUUCUCUUUGCUUGUAUAUUCUUUGUUUAAUCACCUCUAUUAUGCCUGCUUCUAAAACUAAGUGCACCUUUUCAAAUUCUAUCAUUUGAUCACUGUUCUCUCACUCUCAUUUGUUACCUACACUAUUCUGAAUCUAUCACUCUUGGUCGGCUGAAAGCCAAGGCCACAAAAAACUCUCCCUAUUGACCUCCCUGGUGUGAGUACUGCCCGGGGUCCAUUUGAGACUCCUGUGAACUCUGGCAUACUAGGAUUUGGGGUCUUUUGGUCACUCUCUUUACUACUGGGACUUAAGCUAUCUCUGUCCUCAUUUUGUCUGUUGAAUCUGCCAAACUGGGUUGUUUAAGUGGUUUCUGUGUGGUUUUAUAAUUUGUUUGGGGGUCAUAUGUAACUGUUUGGCCUGACACGAGUUCCUUUUACGACUUUGGGGCUGUGUCGUUGGGUAUAAUCCCUUGUUUGAGAGAUGUUUGGACCGGGGCAUGCUAAUUGUGGAAGUUGAGCUUGUUGAAGGCCCAGACAAUGCUAGUUUAUCUUCAUUUUAGGCCUUGUUCUUGGGCCUUUAGCUUUUUUCACAUGUAAUAUUUAUAUUUAUAUUCUUUGGGCAUGUAAUAAUUUGUAAUAACAAACAAUUUAGGGUGUUAGUGAAAUUGGUGAAAUGGGUAUAUUCUAAUGUUUGGAUGAAAGGGUAGAGAACCUGCCUAUAGGAUUACAUGAUUUAUUACCCAACUUGCCAUAUAUGUUGUUUAGCUUCCAUAUACACUAGUAGAAAUCAUGCCUAUAGGGAAUCACACACUCUCACUCGACUUGUUUACUAUCAAAGCAUGAGCUUAAGUACUUUAUUCCCAUGCCUACUGCUAUGUGUUACUAGACAACAUGCUUGUAAAAAACAAAUGUCAAUAACUGCCCUUCAAUUUACAUAAUUGCAGCAUAUUCAUUAGGUACUAUGCAUAUAAGAUUGUAUUAACUUAUCUUCUCUGGAUCCUUAUCUAGAUAUCAUGUCUAUAAGGCUUUAAUUGACUAAUUAGUCUAUUGUCUUUAUCGCGUUGCUCGCCUAGAAACCAUAGUGUUAUAUUAACUUAUACUCUACUGGUCCUCAUCUAGAUAUCAUGUCCAUAGAUUCUUAAUUGAUUCAUCAGCUACUAUUAUAUCUAUCGCUCGCCUAGAAAACAUGCCUAUAGGGAUAAAGUGCUACAAAAUUAGUUUUUCAACUACCAACUAUUAGAACCUACUAUAAAAUAUUGCUACUCGUUUAGAAAGUAUGCCAAUAGGAUCAAACACGAAUAAUUUUGAACCCUUCCAAUGGUUUUUGCUACCUCUUCGCAUAAACAACUUAGAGAUCAUGUCUAAAGGAUUUACAAUACCUAUAAUCUGCAAAUGUGUUGUUCUAACAUAAUCAGCAUUACAUGUACGUUUGAAAUCAAAUCACAUAGAAACCAUGUCUAUAUGACUUAAUUACCUUAAUUUGCCUCAAUUCUAAAACUAUCUAAUGCCUAAUGUGAGAAUCCACCUCAUUCAAUAUUGGGUUAACUAUUCUUUCUUAUUUACUUUGAUGCCAUUUAUUGCUAUUUAUUUCUUGACAUUCUCUCUUCAUUGAUGAUCAUGAAACAUAACAUACAAGUUGCGUUUAAUUUGCUUUCAACACUAAGCUACGUCACUCGUAUUAACCAUUUAUAGAUCUGAAGUUAUUAUCAUUAACUAGGUCUAAUCCUUUAUUAUAUAAAUUUAAUUGAUUUAAUCAGAGAUCUACACUUUUUUGUCAAACAGUUGGUUACGUGAGUUUUCAUCUUAUUGGCGAGAGUUCUAUUUUCCUACUUGUAACCCCUUCCCCUAUUACCUGAGCUUUCACCUUAUUCGCUCAUAUUAAUGACGAAUUAUUUCAUUACAAAUAUUACUUUUUCUUGUAGUGCUUCUUCUCAUCUCACUUGAAACCUUUCCUACCAUCUUUUCUUUUCCUUCCAUCUUAUUCUCGCGAUAUAGCUAGAUUUCUCGCUAUGUGAGCAAGGAUUGAGAUUUUGAAAGGGUAAGGGUGGUUGAGUUUGGACACUAUAUUUCCCAUUUACAAAUGCUGCAGACACAUUUAUUGUUGAACAGUAGAAGAGAAGCUACAAGCAAGAGUUGAACAACUAUUAAUCUCCUUAGUAAAAUACAGAGUAAAAAAUUGGAAAAGUAAAAGAUAAAAACUGAAAAGAUUUUUAUCAAUCAAAUAAUUCCCAAUUUGUGGUAGCAGGAGGUGGAUCAAAAGUUUCCCACAUGGUGGUGACUAUAACUGGCUUUAUUUUUGCAUUGGCUAUUUUUAGCACAUCAAGGGUUUCCACACAUUUUUGCACUCUUUGUCCCUGCAAGCAUAAGUCAUCAACUAACCAAAAACUCUAUAAACGAAAGCACAAAGAACAUUAUAUUACAGAAUUCAUAGGGGUGAGGAAAAAAUUAAGGUCAUAAGAAAAGUAUGAUAUUCAUUUAUACAAUGGAGAUUAUAGAAUACGCGAACUCUAAACUAACAAAAAAUUUGCUUUUAAUAAUUGGAAAAUAAAAAUACAGUCCUAGUCAUAAUUAUUAGGUUCUUACUUCUUACCAUGAUUGGCCUUUCAUUUUACCUUUGGACUUCUUUUUUUCGUCUAAACCAUCAGGCAUGGGAACCCACUUUUCUGAUUAAUUGAAAUUUCCACUGCGUAAUACUUAUUAAAUGCAAUAUUUCUUAUCAGAAAUUUAUCUAUUCUGAAGACUUGAAUCCGAACUCCAUAAUUUAGUGGGAGAGAAACUUGUACAUACCAUCACAUCUCGUGGUGGCCCUUUGGACUUUACAUUCUCUGAUUACAGGAGCAGAUUUAGGCCAAAAUUAUAGUGCAUGUGAAUUCAUGGUCUUUCGGUCAAAUUAGAUAUUUUAUGUACAUAUUUUUUUAGAAUCAAUCUAAUAUAUUUACUCGCUCCCAUGCUUCAAAAAUAUUGAAUGAUGUACUUGAUUGAAUAUUGAGUUAUUAAGGAUGAGGGAUCAAUUGCCAUUAUAUAUUUUCUUUUUUCUUAUUUCUUUAGUGGUUCUCAUAUUUUAAAAAUCCUAAAUCCGCCUCGUCUGAAUAUGUACAUGGAACAUCUUAUCGUUUGGUUCUUAGAGAACAAAUCAUUUCAUGUUAAAGAAAGUAAGAUACCAUCUCUCGCGGGCUAUAGAAUAAUAUGUUAUGAUAUUAUUACAAAAAAUUGCAUAAACAUGACAUUGUUUGGGCUGGUCUAUUAUUUUGUAUCCUUAUUUCGUUAUGAGUAGAACUUUAAAGUCAAAAGUUAAAAAUAUUAACCAUAGGGCAAACUAUGGGCAAGAUUGGUUCAACUUGACAAAAAUUCAAGACGAUCUACUUAAAGGCUAUUUGUGUACUUCACCAUAUUAUUAGUAUACAAUGAAUUUUAACAAACAACUUAUGAAAGAAGUAAAAUAAGUGGGCGUU
Molecule: long non-coding RNA, 11985 nt
Filed under: Nicotiana tabacum (common tobacco)
Lineage: Eukaryota; Viridiplantae; Streptophyta; Magnoliopsida; Solanales; Solanaceae
Description: long non-coding RNA (NTAB_LNC004705)
Source: RNAcentral